UUCUCAAUCUGGAGUGAGAGGUGAACACUGGGCUGAAGACAGAUGACCAGGCACAGAGAGACUGCAGAGCCAGACUGCUGCCCUCAGACACACGAACCAGCUGUCACAGCUGUGCAGCCUACAGCAGCGUGUCCUGGGAUGGAGGCUGUCCAGAAGCUGCCAGUGGGAAGACGGAUGUCCAGAGGCUGCCAGUGGGAAGACCGGUACGGGUAGGAAGACAGAAUGGGGGUUGAUGGUCUCUCCUGUCUCCAGCAGUGCCUCCUUCUCUGAGGUGAAACGCCAAAAUGUCUGGGGUCAAAGGUCAAGAUGGACUCCAUUGCGGGGGCAGACGGUGGGAAGACCAGUGUGGAUGGAGUGUUGGGAUGGAGGAUGAUGCUUUACCCUGUGUUCAUUUCUGUAGUUUUCCAGAAUGUCCAGAGGCAGACAGAAGACGGGUUGUCUAGUGACUGACAGUGGGAAGACCAGUAUGUAUGAGGGGUUGGGAUAGAGGUGGGAUGCUCUCUCCUGUGAUCUUUUCCAUUUUCCAGGCUGCCAGUGGGAAGACGGGUAUGGCUGACAGUUGGGAUAGACGUUGGUUACCCUCUCCUGUAAU
This is a non-coding RNA of Lepisosteus oculatus (spotted gar), 592 nucleotides long. The record is from RefSeq and is a predicted model, not a curated record. NCBI's taxonomy places the organism in Eukaryota, Metazoa, Chordata, Actinopteri, Semionotiformes, Lepisosteidae.